ACGCCCCAUAGUCUGGGAUACCACUUGGAAAACAGGUGCUAAUACCGGAUAAGAAAAGCAGAUCGCAUGAUCAGCUUUUAAAAGGCGGCGUAAAGCUGUCGCUAUGGGGAUGGGCCCCCGCGGUGCAUUAGCUAGUUGGUAAAGGUAAAAGGGCUUACCAAGGCGAUGAUGCAUAGCCGAGUUGAGAGACUGAUCGGCCACAUUGGGACUGAGACACGGCCCAAACUCCUACGGGAGGCAGCAGUAGGGAAUCUUCCACAAUGGACGCAAGUCUGAUGGAGCAACGCCGCGUGAGUGAAGAAGGUUUUCGGAUCGUAAAGCUCUGUUGUUGGUGAAGAAGGAUAGAGGUAGUAACUGGCCUUUAUUUGACGGUAAUCAACCAGAAAGUCACGGGCUAACUACGUGCCAGCAGCCGCGGGUAAAAU
This 425-nucleotide ribosomal RNA is filed under the name uncultured Lactobacillus sp. RNAcentral describes it as "bacterial SSU rRNA". It matches the Rfam family "Bacterial small subunit ribosomal RNA", at positions 126 to 526 of the family's 1533-position model. Lineage: Bacteria; Bacillati; Bacillota; Bacilli; Lactobacillales; Lactobacillaceae. The record is from RNAcentral.